Molecule: non-coding RNA, 2213 nt
Organism: Zonotrichia albicollis (white-throated sparrow)
Lineage: Eukaryota; Metazoa; Chordata; Aves; Passeriformes; Passerellidae
Source: RefSeq, a predicted model, not a curated record
GACAGCUUAUCUCAGUCCUUCUUGUUUUAUGGUUCAUCAGCAUUUCAGACCUGACAGCCUCUGCUGAGAUACCAAAUCCUGGUACCCCCCAGCUCUUCCCAAAAAUGGAAAAGAAAGUCAGGAUUUCAUAGAGCAAAACCUGAAGCCUACAGCCUCAAGUCUAAAGUUAGGACACAGUACAUUGCAGGCAGCAGGCUAAGAAUAACAGAACAAACUCAGGAGGAGAGAAUUAACAAUAAAACACAGGAACUGUGACUCUCCUUCCACAACAUUACCUAAUUCUAAUGUCACGAAGAAGAAAGCAGAGUGAGUGUGUGUGCAGGAGAUAACAGGCUGCCACAGCACUGCUUCUGGUCAGCACCACAAAAUUAAAGUUUGAUUAUUCAGUAGAAGCUGAGCCGAUCUGAGAGUCACACCAGUGUCCAGUUCACAGCGCAACUUACCUUCACAAAGAGCUCAAUUUCAGGGUCCUUUCCUUCCCCAUUAGCAGCAAUAGAGUCUGUCAUUUUUCACCUCCAAGGCUACCAGCUGAUCUCUUAAUAUUAAGUGGCAAAAGGAGGUUUCAACUGCACCGGCGUGCGAGUUUCCCUUGUGAACCGCUCCCACAAAGCUGUUAAAACAUCACUUGUAGUGAUAAAGCUCGAAAGCACUGGAGUAAACAAGUUUGCAGGCAAUUAAAUUAAUAAGAAUUAAGAGAAGGCAGGCAGCAGAGGAGCAGUCCCUGUUACGGUAGUUCUUCAGAGCAACAAGUGCUGCUGUGCUCUGGUACAGUAUCCUCAUCUGUCAGAGCUGCAGCCCUGCUGCCUGCCCAAAAUAGCCCCGAGCAUAAAAAAACAGAGGGUGGGGUUAAACUCAGAGGGGAGGAGACAAGCUCCUGGUACCUACGGCAGGAUCGGUCUCUGAACAAAUAAUUCUGCUCUUCCCUGUUUUCAGCGUUUCUGUUGUUCCCUCCCUCAUUCUACAGCAGGGAGCACCAGGGACAGGGAAGAAGGAAGUCCUGCAGCCGGGCUGGUUUCGGUGCUUUAAGCAACAGUGAUGUUUUUUCUGCUUUUCUGAAGGGUGUUUGUCCUGCCUGUAGGUGUUCAAAGUCCUAACAUUGUUAUUGCUAAGAAAGGCAUUUGACACAGCUCCAGAGCAGUCACAGCCAACACCUCCAUGGCCCUUUGGCCUCACUGAAAACAUUGUUUUGAUAUAGGCAAGUGGUUUAAACAAGUUCUAUCCCAGGACCAUUGGCUCUGGAAGAGAAGAUACUGCCAGCUAUGAGCACAGUAAUGAGGUUUGGUUGGAUUUUUUUUUUUUGCUUGAGGACCCUUUUCACUGCAGAGUUAAUGCCAACAACCAGGAUGAAUUGAAGCAAGGUGAUUACCUAGAAUCCUCAAAGAAAUCAUCUUGGUCAGUGUGCAGAUUAUUUCUACCUUUCUGUGCCUCAUCUUUUAUAAACAUAUAAGCAGGAAGAUAAUGGUUUUCUCUCAGAAGAUGUGUUCUCAAGUUUUACUUAAUUAACACCUGCAUGGAGCCUGCAACAGAAAAUCAAUUAACUUGUAAAUGAAAAUCCUGGUUUUGAACACUGCUGGUGUACUGAAACCAGACCUGUACACUGACAAAUUCCCUUCCCAGCUAUCCCUGAGCACGUCAUCGUAACGUCAUGAAUGUCACUGACGUCUUGCAUUAUCAGAGACGUACAAAUUCACCUACAAUUGUUUCACUAAUUGAUAUGAAAAAGAUCAUCUAGAGAUCUAAAUAUAAAAAUCAUACCUGCAGAUGACAAAUAAAUGACUCAUUUUAGAGUGACACACUUCCUCCUUUUCUUCUGCUACAGAAGUCAGUUUCAUACAGGUUCAUAACAUUUUCCACAAAGAAGUAAAUAUUUUUAUAUUGCCACAUAUACAUAAAAAUAUUUAUAUGUCUUUUUUCAGCCACAGACAAAGUUAUGAGAGAACAUUGAGUAAUUCUAAAUGAACUAGUAAAUACAGUGGCACAACAGUGGAAAAUUUGUCUGCAAUGCAGGGUCUUAUGACCUAAAGAAACAAAGAAUUUUUUUUCCCAAUUAAAAUCUUAAGCUGUGUUUGAAGCAGUAUCUAGGAAUUCAAAUUCAGUAUGUUCAGUUAGCUUUUCUCUUCUACUGUGGUGUCUAAAAUAAAAUGUGAUUCUAAGACGAAUACAGUUGAAAGACACAUAUAUGGGGAAUGCUCUUUAAAAAAAGGAUAAGAUUU